This 253-nucleotide ribosomal RNA is filed under the name uncultured bacterium. RNAcentral's name for it is "partial 16S ribosomal RNA". It matches the Rfam family "Bacterial small subunit ribosomal RNA", at positions 524 to 776 of the family's 1533-position model. The record is from RNAcentral.
UACAGAGGGUGCAAGCGUUGUUCGGAAUUAUUGGGCGUAAAGCGCGUGUAGGCGGCUUUGCAAGUUGGGUGUGAAAUCCCUCGGCUCAACCGAGGAAGUGCGCCCAAAACUGCAUGGCUUGAGUCUCGGAGAGGAUGGCGGAAUUCCCCAAGUAGAGGUGAAAUUCGUAGAUAUGGGGAGGAACACCGGUGGCGAAGGCGGCCAUCUGGACGAAGACUGACGCUGAGACGCGAAAGCGUGGGGAGCAAACAGG